This 1120-nucleotide long non-coding RNA is filed under the name Medicago truncatula (barrel medic). RNAcentral describes it as "lncRNA gene18016". The record is from RNAcentral. Lineage: Eukaryota; Viridiplantae; Streptophyta; Magnoliopsida; Fabales; Fabaceae.
UAUAAAAUCAAUCUUAUUAUUCUUUGUAUUUUGGUGAACUAAUUUCCAUUUAUUUCUCUUUUCUUAGAACUAUUUAUAUAAUAGUAUAUAAAUUUUACUUUGCAUACAAACUUAUUUAAAACAUACAAAAAAACAGAAGUGUUUCCUUCUCCCAUGUACGUUGCUAGUUAACACACAAUAACCAGUAUUCAUGCUAUUAUUUUUUAUAAUAAUUAAAGAGAUCGAAAUAACCACUAGCUAAUUGACCAUCAAUUAACUAAUCAAUGUAGUCACUUAGCUUUGAACACUAAGCUGCAUUGAUGUAAAUCUUCAUCCCAGAUUGGCAGUGACCUGGAAGGUUGCAUAUGAAGUAGUUGUCUCCCUUUACUAGCUCGAUUUGGUCACUCCCUGUUCUGAACACUUUAGAACCUUCUGGUGUCUUGCAUUUGUCGUAUCCAGUUUGGUCCACCAAAACCACAUUGUGCAUCUUUGGAUUAUAGCCAAAAUCUGCAGCAAUCAAUUAGUUAUUAUAUAUAAAUAACUCUAAUAUUAACCAUCACUAACAACAUUUUUUUUUUGACAAAAUUUUCCUUAACAAUUUAGUGUUUUUCAAAUAUGCCAUAUUGUAUUGUACCAUUAAUCUUUUGAAACUCAAAAACUAAUUACAAGUUUUUUGUUGUAAUUUUUAUGCACAAAUAUACCCGCAACAUAGUAUUUUUUUCUCCUUGUUUUUUAUUUUUUGGUCAAGUAGUCUAGUGGCUAGAGCUCACACAUUUUAAACAUGGAGAAGUGAGGUGUCCGAAGUUCGAACCCAAACCCCUGCAUAUAAUAUGUAAUACCCCUGCACAUUUUUAAAGUUGCAACUCGCUUUCAUGGAAAAAUUCAAUUUAAACUUACCAAGCACAUCACCAGCAACAAACGAUUUUCCAUUAGGCCACUUCUUAAUGCCGAAGGUCCAUCCCUUAGGUCCUCCAACGGUGUAAGUUUCUGCGUUAGUACUUUUUGCCAGAACCAUAAGGCACAGCAGUGAAAUCACAAUGACCAUGUUCAUAGCUGCACUGCCUCUUCCCUUAGACAUAUUUGAUAUUUUCUAUCUUAGUAUAAAAACUAUAUGUUUCUAGAGCAAAUUUAUAAGUGAAAU